This 1362-nucleotide long non-coding RNA is filed under the name Marmota monax (woodchuck). The record is from RNAcentral. Lineage: Eukaryota; Metazoa; Chordata; Mammalia; Rodentia; Sciuridae.
UCCUCACCAUGUGACAUGGGUUACACACUCAGCUUCAACUGAAUGCAGCAGUGGAGGGAGAACAGUUCUUCCUAGGAGCCCUGAAUCUGCUCUGGGUCCUGAAGGAGACCCAGGACCACAGUGUGCCAAGCAGGCUGCUGGCCGCGUCUUCCAUGUUCUGCUGUUACUAGGCAUGCAGCUCAAUGUGUACCAUGCGUGCAACUCCUCCGGGAUUCAGAAGUAGCUUAUUUUUAUAUGCAUAGAUAAAAUGCCAAAAGGAAACAACAUAGGUAAACUGGCCCAGACUGCUCCUGAGUGUAUUAAGGGUUAGGAUUUCCUGAGGUUUGGGAAUGGGAGAUAGUGAUUCCUUAUGGGGGCCAAUGUCUGGGUGAUGGCCAUUUACCAGCUGUGGGAAAUUUCUUACUUCAUUGCUCAGGUUCCUUAACUACAUCAUAAAGAUGAUGCACAGGUGUCUACGCCAGUCCAGACGGGAUGUGUCCAAGUGCACACUGCCAUGCCCUGAGCACUGAAUAUGGUGCCCAGUGCCCCUGAGCAACCCCUGAAUGUAACUAGUCACUGUCAUUAAGAGGAGCUUCUUGUCGUGUAUGACAUCACAUUAUGGGUCUUACCACACUCUGUGAUUUGACCUUCAGGUGUCUUAUAGAUAAAAACACAGAUGACACUCAGUAAACCAGAGAGAAUCGUUCUGCAGACAUGUUGUUACCGACACUCAUUGUUAAGAAAUGAGGUCAGAGAGGGAGAGACUAGUUCCUGUCACGUGUAGUCCUCUUGCCUAAAACGGGAAGCGUUGAAGGGUCAUUGAGAUCCAUCCAAUGUUGCUUGUAAACAGACCCAGUUUCGUAGUUGGCUUAGGAAGAUGCAGAUUCCAAGACCAAACGAAGCUGAAGAACCACCAGUGCUGACUUCACCAGCCUCAUCCUUGUCGACGCAGCUGCCCAGAAGGGCUCACCCAAAGCUGCACCAACCUCAGAGUUUGGCAGAAGUCAGUGCCAACCCAUCCUCCUCCCUGCUCCACAGGCCGGCACCCACCUGAGGCUUUGCCCUGCCAGGCUGCCCUCGGUCACUGAGCCUGAGACCUUCCUGAGCUCAACGGCUGGGCCAGCUGGAUUCAGGGCCACUGUGACUUGGUGUCUUUGUGUUAGUAGGACUGUUAUGGUUUGGAUGUGAGAUGUCCCCCAAAAGCUCACGUGUGAGACAAGGCAAGAAGGCUCAGAGGAGAAAUGAUAGGGUUAUGGGAGUCUUCAUCCAAUCAGUGAAUUAAUCCCGUUGGGGUUUAACUGAGUGGUAAUUGAAGGCAGGUGUGUGGCUGGAGGAGGUGGGUCCCUAGGGACGCACCUCUGAGAUAUAUAUUUUGUAUCUGGC